AAUGGCCGCGGUACUUUGACCGUGCUAAGGUAGCGCAAUCAAUUGGCUCUUAAUUGGAGUCAGGAAUGAAUGGAGUUACGGGGUUCAGCUGUCUCCUAGCUAAUUAAUUGAAGUUACUAUGUAGGUGAAAAAGCCUAUGUGUAGAAAAAGGACGAGAAGACCCUUAGAGUUUUACCUAAUGUAAUACUAAAGAGUUAUUUAUUACACUGGUUUUGUUGGGGCAACACAGGAGCAAGCUAAAUAAGUUAAUCUCCUGAAUUAAAUGAACCGAUAGUUUUAAAUGUAAAUAAACUACCUUAGGGAUAACAGCAUAAUUUUAUAGAUAAGUUUGUGACCUCGAUGUUGGACUAGGAAACCUAAAGGCUAGUCGUCUUCAGGGAAAGUUCUGUUC
Molecule: ribosomal RNA, 391 nt
Filed under: Ardeadoris cf. scottjohnsoni SU-2008
Lineage: Eukaryota; Metazoa; Mollusca; Gastropoda; Nudibranchia; Chromodorididae
Description: partial 16S ribosomal RNA
Rfam family: Archaeal large subunit ribosomal RNA
Source: RNAcentral